Molecule: non-coding RNA, 229 nt
Organism: Cinara cedri
Lineage: Eukaryota; Metazoa; Arthropoda; Insecta; Hemiptera; Aphididae
Source: the annotation of a GenBank genome assembly
GCGCGAAAAAUCCAUCGUUUUAUCAAGCUUUGUACAAACAUUUCAUGAUUUUUUUUCAACUACUAAAUAUAUUACAACACACUACCCAUUUUCGAAUUUUUCAUCGAAGAGCCCAAGUGACCGUAUUGAACUAAAUAAGUCUGUGAAAAAUUUCAAUAAAAAACCGUAAGUUAUACAAAAUGUAUGAAUAAAAAUCGAUUGAUAUCUAAUAUACGACGCGACACUUUUG